This 2630-nucleotide long non-coding RNA is filed under the name Gallus gallus (chicken). Its description in RNAcentral is "lncRNA (ENSGALG00010020647.1)". The record is from RNAcentral. Lineage: Eukaryota; Metazoa; Chordata; Aves; Galliformes; Phasianidae.
UGCAGUUCAGUUUCACACCUGAAGUCAAGCAUUUCAUGCAAAUGUUUGAGGAACAAUGACUUGUAUGACUUGUUUGGUUUCAUGCCUCUUUUGUAGUACAUGUAAGCCUUAAUGUUUAGAAUAUCUGCCUUUUUUUCCCCUUGUUUCCAGAUUGUCAUGGUUAAGGAAGAGUGACCCCGUUUACCCCUGACCCACUUGAGCAGCCUCAUGAGGACAGCAGUAAAGGAAGUUUUCCUGGAGUCUUGGCUGUCCUGUGGGUUUCAUUAGAUUUUCAUGAAGCCUCUUCAAUCUGGUCUGUGGUUUUCUUUUCAAGUAGCAUGUUGCUGAGCUAGGCUAGCUCUGAUGGUGCUGGGAGAGUUAAAUCACCACCAAACUUUCAAGGCUUUAGACGGGAAGCAUGGUUUGACUCCCCAUGAAUGAUGUACUUGGCACAAAAAUCCAGUUUGGUAACAGUUUGCUUGGAGCAAACAUGGAAUCUGUUUCCAGUCCUUUUUAUUCUUUUUUUUUUCAGCCUCCACCAACAAAAUAUUUUUUCGUAGAGUAUAUAGUAAAAUGUAGAUAUUUUAGUGUAUUAUAUAUUAUAGCCAUUUGUUUAAAGGUAGAAAAUAAGAGAACCCUAAUGAAGGUUCAUGAUUCCAUUGAAGAUAAACCCUUUUUUUUUCUUUCUCAGUGGUGAAUGUGUGAUGUUGGUUGCAAGUUAUCACAAUGCCAAGAAUUUCCUGGGUCAUUUAACUUCUUCAGUAUAUAUUAUAGGCAUCCAUGAAGUUAUCCUGCCAUUUAUUUUUCCUCCACUAGGCAAUUCUGUGCCUCCAGAAUUUUAGUAUGUUUGUCUUGCUUGUUUCAUCUACCUAAAGACACAGCUCUGAUCUUAGUUGCUAUUUUUCACCUUCUGUGACAGUGAGAAACAUUAGUUGGCUUUUACUUGCCUCCUCUGAAAGAUGAAUUUACUGUAUAUUGUAUAAUUUUAUUUGUAUAUUAUAUAAUAUACUGCAUAUUGUAUUUAUAAAUAAUAAUGUUUCCUGAACAAGCAAGAAAGUCGAUGAUGUUCUGUUUUAACACAGGUAAUUUUAACACAACACUGGAAGAUAUUAUUGUAAAUUAUUGAAUUAUUUUCUUAGGUUCUUGCCUGCGAAUCUUCUUUUACAGUCAUUACAUGAUGAGUCUAUGGGCAUUGAUUGCUCUGACAAGAUGACAUUAAGCAACAAGUAACGCUCUGGACAGCAACCAGUCUCCCUCCAAUAAAAGGCGAAGGCAUGCGGUGGGAAGUGUGACAUGUGUGCUGCUGCUUAUAUCCUCUGGGCUUAGUUAAAGAAGAAGGUCAGGAAGCUUUAGGCAUUGCCCAGUGGUUCAUGAAAGAGAGUUAUGUCGCCUACGCAGAAGACCUAUACAGAAGAGGUUCUUCACCAUCACUACCAGAAGCACACACAAGAUCAUCCUGAUCCCACUCAGGUUAACUGUCUGGACAGCUGUGAGUCAAGCCUUCAAGCCACGCUGCUUUAUCUGAUUGGUCUCAGACUUGAUCUGGCACAUGAAAGGAAAUGUGAGGAAGUUUCAAGCAGGGAUCGUUUUGCAAGUCCAGAGCUGAGGGUGAGGUCAAGUUCACUCACAUUUUUGGAGUAUCACAUUGCAAACAUAAAGCACCGUGCAUACAGCAUGAGGGUUGGUGGAGCAGUGGUUUCAACUGCAGGAGAUCUGUGUUGCUGGAGUAUUUUCGUGUUAUUUACCAGCAUCAAUGAAAUAUACCACACUAAAGAAACAGCAGUUGCAUGUAUUUUUUAAAGGCGACCCUUCUAGGGAAUAGGCAUAUGGUGACUUUAUCUUCGUUUUGAUGUUUAACUCACACAGGUGUUGCAAGCAUCUCGUGGAGCUGCAGGGUAAUGUUAGCAUUUAGUUAAUGAGUAAGUUCUUAUUAUUCAUGUGGCAUUAAUUUAGCCCACGAUGUUACUCCUUUCCUCUUGCGGUGCGUUCAGAGUCGUGGAGAUUGCUGCAAGAAUUUAUGGGAUGGAAAAGCAGAUAUUUAACUAUGGGGCUUUUUAAAGCUGUGUGGAGUAAUAAAAUCAUUACUGUUGGAAAAGACUACCAAGAUCAUCUAGUCUGACCAUCAACCCAUCGCCACCAUGCCCUCUAACCAUGUUCCUCAGUCCUACUGACUCGACUGCCCUCCUUGCAAACAAGCUCUGUUCCAGACUCAGCCUUAGGUCGUCACUUCAUAAAAAUGGUCUCAUUUCUACUAGGGCCUCACUGAGAUUUCCCAGUCAGUCAUUUUUCUGAAGAUGUUUAAGUCUUAAAUGCGUACUUUGUUAUUCUGAAAGGCUUUAUGGCUUUGUGUAAUCAGUUUUUCUUAAAGGAGAAUUGUUGGGUAAGCUGUACAUUUCAGCAAAACCACAAUUUAAAAUUUUGUUAUCUGUUGUAACAUGCAGUAAAUUCCAUGGUUAAUGGAAGAGCAUAUUGAGCAAAAUCCUGUGCCACUCCUGAGCUCAGUUGUACCAAGUGCUCUAAAGGCUGUCUGUGUGGAACAGGUCUGCAUGCUUGUCACUGUUGCGGUGUAAAUGUUGUAUUUCUCAACAUCUACUACGGAGAAGCAGGAGUUUAUUCUCUAAGAAUAGAAAAGCAGAACAGAUAUGAGCAGC